AGGAGUUGAACUAUCAAAAACUUCAUUCAUUUUCAAACAACAACCUUGCAGUUAUUUCUCUUUUCUUUUUUCCAUAAGGAAAAUGUAUUGUCAUCCUUCUUCUUUUUUCUACAUUUUUUUUUUAUUUUUCUUUUCUUUCUAUUUUUUUGCCAACUUUUGAAGUAUCACAACUAUAAUAAUUCAACCUCACACAACUCUAAAGAACAUUUCUUUCACCCUUUGAAUAGGGUGAUACCAUUUUUUUCACUUUUUAGCUUGUAAUGAGUUUUAAAUAAAGAAUGGGAUAAUAGGCUCAAGGGGUUUUCAAACAAGGGAUGAUAUAUUCAGGGUUGGCUUUUUG
This 340-nucleotide long non-coding RNA is filed under the name Lathyrus oleraceus (garden pea). RNAcentral's name for it is "Pisum sativum (pea) long non-coding RNA (PSAT_LNC012751)". Lineage: Eukaryota; Viridiplantae; Streptophyta; Magnoliopsida; Fabales; Fabaceae. The record is from RNAcentral.